Molecule: ribosomal RNA, 482 nt
Filed under: uncultured bacterium
Lineage: Bacteria
Description: partial 16S ribosomal RNA
Rfam family: Bacterial small subunit ribosomal RNA
Source: RNAcentral
AUUGAACGCUGGCGGCAUGCUUUACACAUGCAAGUCGAACGGUAACAGGUCUUCGGAUGCUGACGAGUGGCGAACGGGUGCGUAAUACAUCGGAACGUGCCUAGUAGUGGGGGCUAACUACUCGAAAGAGUAGCUAAUACCGCAUGCGAUCUACGGUUUAAAGCCGGAGACCUUCGGGCCUUGUGCUACUAUAGCGGCUGAUGGCAGAUUAGGUAGUUGGUGGGGUAAAGGCUUACCAAGCCUGCGAUCUGUAGCUGGUCUGAGAGGACGACCAGCCACACUGGGACUGAGACACGGCCCAGACUCCUACGGGAGGCAGCAGUGGGGAAUUUUGGACAAUGGGCGAAAGCCUGAUCCAGCAAUGCCGCGUGAAGGAUGAAGGCCCUCGGGUUGUAAACUGCUUUUGUACGGAACGAAAAGCCUGGGGCUAAUAUCCCCGGGUCAUGACGGUACCGAAAGAAUAAGCACCGGCUAACUACGUG